This is a long non-coding RNA of Pezoporus occidentalis (night parrot), 3418 nucleotides long. RefSeq lists it as uncharacterized. The record is from RefSeq and is a predicted model, not a curated record. NCBI's taxonomy places the organism in Eukaryota, Metazoa, Chordata, Aves, Psittaciformes, Psittacidae. The transcript has 2 exons.
CUACCCAUUCUUUCCCCUGCAAAACCAAGCAGGACAAGGAGCUCACCAUGGCCUUCUCAUACAAAGAGCAAUUAGCCCCUUUCCCCUGACAAAGCUCCUACACUGGAUGCAGCUGGGUUUGUUUCUUACCUCUUUUUAAUCCAUGAAGCAGCAAAAGCAGUGCAUAUUCACACCUGAGUACCCAUGGCCUGACGUGCAUGAAGUUCCUGAAGUGUUUCAGCUGAGCUUCAGUGUUUCCGAGAGCAGAAGGGUCACUCGCAGUGGAGAAAGAGAGAAUCUGGGGGGAAAAAAACCCAAAAAUACACAUCCUAAGCAGUUGGGUUUGCAUUGUCUGGCAGGUCCAAACUCCAGAGAGGUGUCUGAAGUACAACUCUGGUGGGGUGUGAAGCCCAAAACUGAGUUCUAUAACCCAUAGAAUCAUCUACUGUCCUGGAUGCUGAAGGUCCCCAUGCUCAUGGUUUAACCCAGAAAUGAUGGGAAGCCCAUGCAAAGCUUCGUGCCAGCACUAAGGUGGUGGACCACUGAGUUUUUCCCACCUGUCUGCUCAUCUCCCAUGUCUCCUGGCUGCCACACAAAAUGACUCGUGACCUGCUGGAAACGGGAGCAGUGGAAUGGUGGAGACUAUCGGAGCGAUGCCAGAGGGGUAGCACCCGCUGUGUCUGCUCUGCCUGGUGCUCCUGCAGCUCAGGCAUCUCCUGGAGCUACAGGUUUAAUACACAUAGUUAUGCAUUUUUACGUGAGGUUCUUUCCAUAAGCAUGAAAAUGAUUUACAACAUUUCAAAUUUCAUUUUUUUAAUCCUUUAAAAUUAAAACAAAUCUUUUCUCUGCUUUGCCCAAUUUUAAGGCUGCCCUUAAGCUCUUGCAGAAAAAUAUGGAUGGAAGAAACUCCUGAAAUCCCCAACCACUGGCAACCAAAUUGGUAUUUUACAAGUUAAGUGCUAUAACAGAGGGAACAUACAUGUUUAAUUUGGAAAUGUUGAUUCCAAAUGGAUUUUUGUUUAAAAAAAAAAACACCACAAAAAACCACCUUCCCCCAAGCAAGUCAAUAUUUGUAAUCAAAUGGAAAUUUCCUUUGGGAAUUAUUUAUUUUCAUGAGGGCUAAUUUUUGCAAGGGAAAAUUCUACGCAGGAAGGUUUUCAGUUGCUUUAAACCAGCUUUAGGAAUCUGGGUGAUGGGAGGGGGCCCAGGAAAUCCCACUCAUGCUGAAGCUCAGUUGCCUUUGAUGAGGGUGAGCUGAUGAAAGAGUUUAAACUGAUUCUUUCCACUUUGAAGAGGGUAAAGAGUGAACAGGAAGGAGGGAAAGGGAGAAACAGGAAAGAAGGAGGCAUUCAACACCAAUUCCCUGCUUUGUAUUUCUUGAGAAUGUAGCAGCAUGGCAUGGGAUUCACCACGGGCAACAUCAGACAUCAAACUGAGGCAUCCCAGCUGGCUACUUUUGGCUUCCCAUACACCAGAGGGAACACAAAGCACUCUGGGAUGCUGCAUCAUUCACCUGCUUAUAUCUGACAUCCACUGCAGGGUGAGAUGAGUUGUGCCACUGACUUUAUCUGCCUUGAACAGAUGAGGAGCUGAUGGUGACAGGUUCAUGUUCACCAUAGCCCAGUGAAUCCCAUUUGAGCUGCCUGACCUGCUGUUGAUUUACUGGUGGAGCAGGAGCAUCCCUGAGGGUACUGCAGCCCCUCCAUGGGUAACACAGUAUGGGCCAUGAGGAGGAACAGGCACCUUAUACUACUAUUAGUGCAUUAACAGGGAUUCAAGCCCAAAGAGAAGACACACAUGGUUUCCAGCACCCAUAGGGAAGUCCUUUAGAGCAAACUGUCACGGCUCAACCUUAAGAUGAUUUUCUUACAGAAUUUGUGUCCGUUUUACCACAACAGUUGGGGUUAAUGAUGUGCAUAAUUUACAUUACCAUGCCUUUUAUUUUUGUAUUAUGAUAAAUUGCCUACCUUCAUGUUCCUCUUUAUUAUGAUGCGCUGGGAGCACAAUAUAGUGGUAGAAAAACAACAGUAUAGCACUGCACUGUCAGCCUCCAACACAGAACCAGCACACCCAGGCUGCAGCCAUCCCCGGAUGCACAGCACCGUGUCAGAUGAUUAGCUCCAAGGCAACUGCCAACAUGCGGUUUUAGUGGAAAUGAAAACAAGAUACAGGUUCUUUCCAGAAAUCAGAAAACCAAACCUUGGAAACCUAACUCUUCAGGUGAAAAUGCAGAAAAACUUCUGUUUGGAGCUUCUGUUCAAUAUUUUAGCUCUAAUAUCACUCUUAAGGACACAGAAAGGAGAUCUCUUGUAGGGUUUCCAGGUCUUCCAGAGGACUGACGUCACCUGCAGGACCUCAGACCUGAUGUGUUCAGCAUGCUAAAGUUGGACAUGGACAGCUGGUUUGGAGCAAAUCUGGCAUUUCCUGGGGCAGGAGACACCACGUGCAUGUGCAAGACCAUCAUGGGUGCUGGAAGGCAUCCAUGCAGCUAUGCUGGUAACUCCAAACCCCGAUCCCUCCUCCUGGGAGCUUUGCCCACUGUACAUGCACAGAGGAGCCAGAUACCACAGCAGGCAGCAGUGGGAGAGAUUGCUGCUGUGAGAUCUGAGCACAAAGUGGCUUCAACCACUGCUGGCAUUGGCACAGCAAGCGAGAAGACAUUUACUUCCAGGAGCAAACACAGGGAACUGCCAAUUGGCCAAAAUCAAAUAAAACAUGACCUCUGAUGAACUGGAGCCGUAAUACUUUCAAACAACCCUGCGCUCAAUAUUGGCAAUGUAAUAGUUUACCUUUGAGACACGAGGGCUGAAGGAGGAGCGACACCCGCGGCUCCCGGAGAUGUUUCAUUACCAUCAUUGCUGUUACUGAUAACAAGGCAGCAAACCUCCACGAGGUCCCCGCGCCGGGCUCCAGGAAAGCAUUGCCUGCACCUCUUCCCCAAGGGAAAGCACAAACCCAGGAGCUGGGGUUUACAGGAGCACCUGAACCUUUUCAAUUACAGGAAAUACAGAAUGAGGCAGAACAGAGAGAUUCUUUCCUGGCACAAAGUCCUUCCUCUCAGCUUUUGUUUUCAAUCCUGCAACCUGCCCGCUACUCCCUGGGUAACCACGCGCACACUCAGCCUUGCUGGCUCCUGGAAAAAGCCCCUUUUAAGUGGGACAGGAACAAACCCUGAGCUAGAAAUAAUGGGAACCCUUUGGGGAAGAAGUAAUAAAACAAUCUGAGUUUGAUUAUUAAGCGCAAAGCAGGAGAUGGCAGCUGAUGUGCAGUACACACCGCCUCCCAAUCAAACAAAUACCCAGGGCGCAGUCCUGUCCAGAAGCAGUAUAAAUAUCUCAGCAGCUUAUUACCUUGUUUCUUGGAUCACUCCAAGCUUCUUGGAACCAGUGUGAAGCACAGGCAAAUCCAUUAAAAAAUUGAUUUUUGUUAUUUCUCUUCA